GCGUGAGCGAUGAAGGCCUUAGGGUUGUAAAGCUCUUUCAGGGGGGAAGAUAAUGACUGUACCCCCAGAAGAAGCCCCGGCUAACUCCGUGCCAGCAGCCGCGGUAAUACGGAGGGGGCUAGCGUUGUUCGGAAUUACUGGGCGUAAAGCGCACGUAGGCGGACUGGAAAGUCAGAGGUGAAAUCCCAGGGCUCAACCUUGGAACUGCCUUUGAAACUCCCGGUCUUGAGGUCGAGAGAGGUGAGUGGAAUUCCGAGUGUAGAGGUGAAAUUCGU
Molecule: ribosomal RNA, 275 nt
Filed under: uncultured bacterium
Lineage: Bacteria
Description: partial 16S ribosomal RNA
Rfam family: Bacterial small subunit ribosomal RNA
Source: RNAcentral